AGGAAACCGGCCCACUAUCUAGUGCGUACUGCGUGGUUUGGGGCACAACCAACACACUCCUCCCAAGGCCCCCGGCCGGAUUUCCACAUUUCUGUCAGCUGCGCUUGGAUCGUCCGCCAUCUUCCCUGCUCUCUAAUCGCUUCUGCACCUGGAAAAUGGGUUAAAUUAAGCUGUUUCAAGGAAGUGAAAUCACGUUUUAACGGCGUACGCAAUUGACUUGACUCACCUGAGCAUUUUACUGUAGAUCUGCAAAGGAUCAUGGUCAAGAUUCAGUGGUGGGUGAAUUCUACAGUAAGCAUAUUUCUGCUGUGAAUCACAAUACGUUACCGUGAGGCAUGUCUAAGUAGCCUACUGAAGUGGACCAAAGCAAAACAGAGCCCCAAAACAGUGCAGGAAAGAAAACUUUAGUCCAAGAUGUGGAUUCCAGCAAAUGUAAAACAAAGCACUUGCACAUUUUUAUGUUUUUGUUCAGAACAGCAGUGUUUACAAAAAUAUGAAUUUAUUUAUUUAUUAUCUAUGUAUUUUAUGUUUUAAAAUGUUGAAAUUCAAUAAAUGAUUUUUUUGUUACAAA
Trichomycterus rosablanca is the source of this 571-nucleotide long non-coding RNA. RefSeq lists it as uncharacterized. The transcript has 6 exons. The record is from RefSeq and is a predicted model, not a curated record. NCBI's taxonomy places the organism in Eukaryota, Metazoa, Chordata, Actinopteri, Siluriformes, Trichomycteridae.